Molecule: ribosomal RNA, 372 nt
Filed under: uncultured organism
Description: bacterial SSU rRNA
Rfam family: Bacterial small subunit ribosomal RNA
Source: RNAcentral
CAGAGGUCCCGAGCGUUGUUCGGAUUCACUGGGCGUAAAGGGUGCGUAGGUGGCGAGGUAAGUCGGAUGUGAAAUCUCCAAGCUUAACUUGGAAAUGGCAUUGGAAACUACCUGGCUAGAGGUUUGGAGGGGGGACUGGAAUUCUCGGUGUAGCAGUGAAAUGCGUAGAUAUCGAGAGGAACACCAGUGGCGAAGGCGAGUCCCUGGACAACACCUGACACUGAGGCACGAAAGCUAGGGGAGCAAACAGGAUUAGAUACCCUGGUAGUCCUAGCUGUAAACGGUGCUUGCUUGCUGUAAAAGGAAUCGACCCCUUUUGUGGCGAAGCCAACGCGUUAAGCAAGCCGCCUGGGAAGUACGGUCGCAAGAUUA